Long non-coding RNA from Scophthalmus maximus (turbot), 905 nucleotides. RefSeq lists it as uncharacterized. The transcript has 3 exons. The record is from RefSeq and is a predicted model, not a curated record. Lineage: Eukaryota; Metazoa; Chordata; Actinopteri; Pleuronectiformes; Scophthalmidae.
AGACGAUGACGUGGACGGUGAUUGGCCUCCUAGAUAACUCCAGGCCCAACUCCUGAACUUAGAGACGAGGGGACUCUCCACAGUCGACUCUGGUCGUCAUCGCUGGAAUUCCACAAACGAAAUUCAAUUCAUAAAUCAGCCAUGGCCUCCGGCUCCUCGUCAUUUUCAGCAGGGGACUGGCUUAUCUGUUGCUCAGAGGCUACAAGAAAAAUCAUGAAGAGCUGCCACCUGGGUCUGUCCUCUUGAAAACAUUUCUGUGGUUUGGCACAUUUGGCAGCGCCCUCCUCCAAUGACCCUUUUUCUCUUGAACCUGGCCUCUUCAGCACCUCCCGGCCUCUCUCUACCAUCCGUCCUCGCUGACGCUCGUCGACACGGUGGAGCUGGCGGUACCUUAGAAGCUAUAUGGACCCAACCAACUCUAUCUGGGAGGAGGGGGGAAAUCCCUCAGAUGGUACAACUCAUCUGCUGCGCGGUCAGGCAGAGGCUGCGCUGUGAACUUUGAAGUGAACUAACGGGACAAUUGUCAGUUGUAUUUUUCGACCGGCCCCAAAGUGAAGUGAAGCGGCCCACCGGGAAUCCGCCCGAAUCUCCCGAUCACCCAAUCCGCCCCUGCUCAGCAGCUCUCUCUCUCUUUCUCCCUCUGUCACUCUGCCCCACAGGUACACAAGCGAAUAACAGAGCGAGGGGGAGUAGGGGGAGGGGGAUUUGUUUAUUCAAAGUUCGGUGAAUGCUCGACUCAGUACACGGAACCCUGAACGGCUGAACCGGAUAAUCAGCUGUUGCCGUGAUUGUCAUGAACACGCUGUUGUUGUGAUUGGCAGCGUGUCUUACGUUGCUGCUCCUCAGCACUGAUUUGAUCAGCUGUUUAUUAAAAUCAACACUCAAAGUAAUGUGUCCAAACUCAA